RNAcentral lists this unclassified non-coding RNA (227 nucleotides) under uncultured Bartonella sp. RNAcentral describes it as "partial 16S-23S ribosomal RNA intergenic spacer". The stretch from base 36 to 109 matches the Rfam family "tRNA". Lineage: Bacteria; Pseudomonadati; Pseudomonadota; Alphaproteobacteria; Hyphomicrobiales; Bartonellaceae. The record is from RNAcentral.
AUUAUGCUGGGGAAGGUUUUCCGGUUUAUCCCGGAGGGCUUGUAGCUCAGUUGGUUAGAGCGCGCGCUUGAUAAGCGUGAGGUCGGAGGUUCAAGUCCUCCCAGGCCCACCAAUUUAAUUAAUUGCUGAUAAAACGCUUAUUUUACGGUGCACACAAUCUCUUCGUUUUAUCUAUUAUGCUAACGCACUUCUGAAUCACACCUAUUAUUCACAACCUUUGCAGGCGG